RNAcentral lists this ribosomal RNA (519 nucleotides) under uncultured bacterium. RNAcentral describes it as "bacterial SSU rRNA". It matches the Rfam family "Bacterial small subunit ribosomal RNA", at positions 18 to 518 of the family's 1533-position model. The record is from RNAcentral.
UCUGGCUCAGACGAACGCUGGUAGCGUGGAUUAGGCAUGCAAGUCGAACGGGAUCCGGGAGGUAGCAAUACUUCCUGGUGAGAGUGGCGGAUUGGGGAGGAACACGUGAGCAACCUGCCUGGAGUCGGGGAAAACCGUUGGAAACGACGGCUAAUACCGGAUGUGGCGCCCGAAGACAUCUUCGGAGCGCUAAAGGGGGCCGCAAGGCUCUCGCUCCUAGAGGGGCUCGCGCACCAUCAGCUUGUUGGCGGGUAACGGCCCACCAAGGCCUACGGUUAGCUGGUCUGAGAGGAUGACCAGCCCCACUGGGACUGAGAUACUGCCCAGACUCCUACGGGAGGCUGCAGUCGAGGAUCAUUUGCAAUGGGCGAAAGCCUGACAAUGCGACGCUGCGUGGAGGAAUGAAGGCCUUCGGGUUGUAAACUCCUGUCAUGGGGGAACAGGCGAGGAUACCUAAUACGUAUCUUAGUUGAGUGUACCCCAAGAGGAAUUGGCGGCUAACUCUGUGCCAGCCGCGGC